RNAcentral lists this long non-coding RNA (253 nucleotides) under Gossypium barbadense (sea-island cotton). RNAcentral describes it as "long non-coding RNA (GBAR_LNC005376)". The record is from RNAcentral. Lineage: Eukaryota; Viridiplantae; Streptophyta; Magnoliopsida; Malvales; Malvaceae.
CAACAUAUAACUCAUACCACAAAGCAUAAACACAUAUAUCAAUACAUGAUUCCACUAUACUAAAAUAACUCCAAAUAACUCAUGGUUGUUUAUACAAACUAGAACAUAGCAUAUUUACAAGCCAAUUCAAAUGGCCAAAAUCAUUACCAAAACAUAACCAACAUGACCAAAGUCCCUAUACAUGCCAAAUACUCAAAAUACCAAAAUUCAUAGGUACCAAGUGAUAGGUGGAUAGUGUGAAGCGAUCUUCGAC